UCAUUCCCCCCAACACUUAGUCAGUUUUCCCACGACUAUGUUUUCCUACACUCCGUCAAUUUUCAUUCCCAAAACCUAACCACUGCGACAGCCGUCCAGCAACCGACAUCCUCUUCCUCCUUCUCCGCUUCCGACCGUUCCCCUCCUUCUUCUCCUCCUUGUCCGCCUCUGACCGUUCUCCAGUUUGAAGCAUAAACCGGAGCUCCCAAUCAGCAAGGACGAGAUCCGAAGACACAGACCAUCCUUAUCACCCCGAAAACACAGAUUGCAGUCGCCGUCUCUUCUUUCUCUCUCCAUGGGCCUCUCCAUCUCAGCCCCUCUCUUCGACCAUCGAGGCAUCGACGGCCCUCGCUCUCCUCGUCAGUAACUCGUUUUUGAGCCCUACAAGGUCAGCAAAGUGGAUCUUCUUGCCCAAAGUUGCUCUUCAUGGCUCUUAAUUUGGGGUGCUCGGCACUUGGUGUCUGGAAGCUUAACACAUAGGGGUUCCUUCCUACACAUGCAUCCGAUUGGGUUUCAUCCUUACCCCCUGCUCAGGU
Molecule: long non-coding RNA, 536 nt
Organism: Rosa rugosa (rugosa rose)
Lineage: Eukaryota; Viridiplantae; Streptophyta; Magnoliopsida; Rosales; Rosaceae
Exons: 3
Source: RefSeq, a predicted model, not a curated record